Molecule: ribosomal RNA, 392 nt
Filed under: uncultured bacterium
Lineage: Bacteria
Description: bacterial SSU rRNA
Rfam family: Bacterial small subunit ribosomal RNA
Source: RNAcentral
AUUGAACGCUGGCGGCAUGCCUUACACAUGCAAGUCGAGCGGCAGCGCGGGGGCAACCCUGGCGGCGAGCGGCGGACGGGUGAGUAAUACAUCGGAACGUGUCCUUUCGUGGGGGAUAACCAGUCGAAAGACUGGCUAAUACCGCAUGAGAUCUCACGAUGAAAGCGGGGGACCGCAAGGCCUCGCGCGAUUGGAGCGGCCGAUGUCGGAUUAGCUAGUGGACGGGGUAAAGCCCACCAAGGCUACGAUCCGUAGCUGGUAUGAGAGUACGACCAGCCACACUGGGACUGAGACACGGCCCAGACUCCUACGGGAGGCAGCAGGUGGGGUAAUUUUGGACAAUGGGCGCAAGCCUGAUCCAGCCAUGCCGCGUGUGUGAAGAAGGCCUUCGG